UGGUGUGACAAAUGGGCCUUUGCAGGAAAGGUUGCAAUCAGAUGUUGUGUGACCUAAAAAAAAAAAAAAAAUACAUAAAUAAAUAACAAGUCUUUAUGCACUGAAUAUUUUUUAUAAAUCUACCUCAGCAAUUAUCUCUGCUGUGUGGCUCUGGGGAAAGUAUUUAACUCCCAGCACAGUGGUGCACAUUUUAUUUUCAGUAUUAACAAAACGGCCAGUCACAGCCAAGUAGGCCUCCAUGUUUAUUGAAGUUCACAUAUCAGCUGUAAGGCUGACUGCAUUGGUGGAAUUUUUCUUUUAUGUUCAGGGUUUCUGCUUCAUAUCUUUUAGAUACCAUUUCCUUUAGAGCUUGUAAAACAGAAAAAAAAAUCUUCAAACAAUAAUAAUAAUAAUAAUAAUUCAAACUGUUCAUGUUCAGUGCAAUUUCUGACAUUUACAGUACCUUCCUGGUUGGUAUUGCGUAUGAUGGCUCACGGGUCUGCAGCAUCUCCCUGAAUCCCUCGUCCUCAAUGAUGCUGAAAGGUUGGCAAUCUUUUAUUAUAAUAUUUACAAUGCAUAGAUUUAGGGCCUCUUUUCUAGAAGCUUGAAGUGAAAAGGAAAGGUGUCUGAUUUAGAUUACUAUUAGCCUCCAUAAUAAUUAGUGACUGAUUACAAUAUACUAAUCCACCAGUGUCCAUUCCUGGUGUAUUUUGUUCUCUUUCAGGGCGAGCUCAAUAAUGCUGGAGCACUGAUGAUGUUUCGGGUUGCAUAGGCUGUGGAAACAGGAAUGGAAUACAAAUUACCUUAUCAGGUGUUAUGAGAUCAAAAUGAUCCCACACAGAAGAAAACUUUCUCUUUCUUGGAGGGCCCAUAGUGACGAACGGCGUCGUAGCAGCAAGUGGCUCGAUCUGUGCUGGACUUCCCCAAAAGGGUCUGGCUGCAGACACAUGGGGAAAGUGGAGCUCCACUCCAGACCGGAAACACGUGACCUCCAACGAAGAUGUCAUCUCUACUUUUAUGUAGACCUAUGGGGCGACGAAACGAUUUAUUUUGACCGCAAUUAAAUGUUUAUUAAAUAAGAUUGUUUUUACGUUAUGGAAUUUGUUCGCACAUAUAAACACAGAGCAAAACGACCAUCUGGAAGACGGAGAAAACAUGGGUAAAGAAGCCCACGGAGUGAUUUAAUGAAGCUACGAGGAGAAAACACUGCAUUUUCACACACAGUGACUGAGUUAAACUUGUAAACACUUGGCCAGUAUAAGUCUUCCUGUAUGAGAACACAACACACUGCUGGGGCCACAAAACUGGUGGCUGAUGAGAUGCUCAUGAUUCAUAAAAUGGGUCAAAUGCAGAUGACAAAGAAAAGCAACACUGAGCAGGAGGUGCUGACCCAGACUCCUGCCUCUGUUUAGGUCUGGGACAUGUUACAUUGAAAACGCCAAUAAUAAUAAGAGCUGCAAAUGAAUCAUGCUCAUGUUGAAAUCAUUAUUUAAUUUUCUGAAAAUACACAUUUCUCAAAUGUGUGAGAUUUAGCUGUUUGGAUUUAUGUAAUAGUUUUCUUAAUGUGUGUGUCAUUACAGGUUUUCACUCUGCAGACAGAAAUUUCAACCAGUCAGACUUAAGGCCCAUUCUGCUCUUCCUCCUCCAGAACACGAGAGAUACAUCAGACUGAAUGAUCCAAGUACACUGGGUCAUGUCUCCACUGUCCAUGUCCAGACUCACAGAGGAGGAGGAGGUCCAGACUGCAGACCUGUGGGGCCUCUGGUUGCAUCAGGCCUUCCUCCUGCACAUUCUGUUUGCUGCUGUUCCUUAUGUGUCCUAAUAGUGAUGUGUCCAUAAAGUUUAGGUUUAACGUCUAAUUUCCUCCAGAAGUGAAACAGUAAAAUGGUGGUUUCUGUUCGUCUUAGCUGAGGAGCACCUAAACAGCUUUAUCACUGAGGAAGUGUCCCAUGAUAAAUGUGUCCUUAUAUGACCUUAACAAGUGUAUAAGACAAAACUAGAGUCAUAUAAGUUGCUCAUAAUAAGUUUUUCUGAAUGUUUUUCAGUCUGUACUGAUGUUUGAUUCAUGAUGAAAUGUGCCAUUUACUUUCUGUCUCUUUUGAAAGUAACUAAUUACAUGUACUAUAAGAAUGUACUGUUGUACUGCAGUUAAGCAGUGGUAUUCCACCUGAUCAUAUUUUGGAUUUUUUUUUUUUCUGCUUCAGCAA
Boleophthalmus pectinirostris (great blue-spotted mudskipper) is the source of this 2186-nucleotide long non-coding RNA. RefSeq lists it as uncharacterized. The transcript is spliced from 3 exons. NCBI's taxonomy places the organism in Eukaryota, Metazoa, Chordata, Actinopteri, Gobiiformes, Gobiidae. The record is from RefSeq and is a predicted model, not a curated record.